Molecule: ribosomal RNA, 460 nt
Filed under: uncultured bacterium
Lineage: Bacteria
Description: partial 16S ribosomal RNA
Rfam family: Bacterial small subunit ribosomal RNA
Source: RNAcentral
CCUACGGGAGGCAGCAGUGAGGAAUAUUGGUCAAUGGACGAGAGUCUGAACCAGCCAAGUAGCGUGAAGGAUGACUGCCCUACGGGUUGUAAACUUCUUUUAUAUGGGAAUAAAACGUUCCACGUGUGGGAUUUUGUAUGUACCAUAUGAAUAAGGAUCGGCUAACUCCGUGCCAGCAGCCGCGGUAAUACGGAGGAUCCGAGCGUUAUCCGGAUUUAUUGGGUUUAAAGGGAGCGUAGGUGGAUUGUUAAGUCAGUUGUGAAAGUUUGCGGCUCAACCGUAAAAUUGCAGUUGAAACUGGCAGUCUUGAGUACAGUAGAGGUGGGCGGAAUUCGUGGUGUAGCGGUGAAAUGCUUAGAUAUCACGAAGAACUCCGAUUGCGAAGGCAGUUCACUGGACUGCAACUGACACUGAGGCUCGAAAGUGUGGGUAUCAAACAGGAUUAGAUACCCCGGUAGUC